UAUGGCCACAUCACAUUGAAACAUCAGUUCCUGUAUGAUCACCAGAGCUAAGCAACAUUCAGCUUGAUCAGUAUCUAGAUGGGUGAUGACUUGGGAAUACCAGGUGCUGCAAG
Acanthosepion pharaonis is the source of this 113-nucleotide non-coding RNA. Lineage: Eukaryota; Metazoa; Mollusca; Cephalopoda; Sepiida; Sepiidae. The record is from the annotation of a GenBank genome assembly.